Non-coding RNA from Acanthosepion pharaonis, 99 nucleotides. Lineage: Eukaryota; Metazoa; Mollusca; Cephalopoda; Sepiida; Sepiidae. The record is from the annotation of a GenBank genome assembly.
GUUGAAACACCGGUUCUCCUAUGAUCACCAAAGUUAAGCAACGUCGAAUCGGGUUAGUAACUAGAUGGGUGAUCGCUUAGGAAUACCAGGUGCUGUAAG